This is a long non-coding RNA of Felis catus (domestic cat), 432 nucleotides long. RefSeq lists it as uncharacterized. The record is from RefSeq and is a predicted model, not a curated record. The transcript is spliced from 3 exons. Lineage: Eukaryota; Metazoa; Chordata; Mammalia; Carnivora; Felidae.
CGAGCAAACAGACCUUCUGCCAUCUGGGGAAGCCAGCCCAAGAGGCGGGGAGAGCUGGGGCAAAGGCCCUGGGGCGAGGGUUCCCCGUGCGUUCAGGGAGCAGAAAGGAGUCCCGAGGGGGCAGAGACGCAAGGGCGCCUGCAGGGCUCUACCCCAGGAGACAGCAGCGAUACCCCAGAAGGCUCGUGCAGCAACGCCCGCCUCCGAGUGUGGGAGUAUACGCAACGAGAAAGGGAGACCCUUCCUGGCCACUCUUCCACGCGCUUCCAAACUCCCCAGACCAAGAAUCGCCACUCCAGGGGUCACCCAAUGCCCCGACGUCCACGGCGGUGCUGGGGGGCUGGGAGUCCCCACUUCAGCUCAGCCCAGAGCCCAGAAAGCAGGCGGCUUCCAAGGCUGGGUGACCUCUGGCUGAGACGCGCGGAAACUGCG